This 555-nucleotide ribosomal RNA is filed under the name uncultured bacterium. RNAcentral describes it as "partial 16S ribosomal RNA". It matches the Rfam family "Bacterial small subunit ribosomal RNA", at positions 355 to 900 of the family's 1533-position model. The record is from RNAcentral.
UGGGGAAUAUUGCACAAUGGGCGCAAGCCUGAUGCAGCCAUGCCGCGUGUGUGAAGAAGGCCUUCGGGUUGUAAAGCACUUUCAGCGAGGAGGAAGGUGGUGAACUUAAUACGUUCAUCAAUUGACGUUACUCGCAGAAGAAGCACCGGCUAACUCCGUGCCAGCAGCCGCGGUAAUACGGAGGGUGCAAGCGUUAAUCGGAAUUACUGGGCGUAAAGCGCACGCAGGCGGUUUGUUAAGUCAGAUGUGAAAUCCCCGGGCUCAACCUGGGAACUGCAUUUGAAACUGGCAAGCUAGAGUCUCGUAGAGGGGGGCUAGAAUUCCAGGUGUAGCGGUGAAAUGCGUAGAGAUCUGGAGGAAUACCGGUGGCGAAGGCGGCCCCCUGGACGAAGACUGACGCUCAGGUGCGAAAGCGUGGGGCAGCAAACAGGAUUAGAUACCCUGGUAGUCCACGCUGUAAACGAUGUCGAUUUGGAGGUUGUGCCCUUGAGGCGUGGCUUCCGGAGCUAACGCGUUAAAUCGACCGCCUGGGGAGUACGGCCGCAAGGUUAAAAC